Molecule: ribosomal RNA, 111 nt
Organism: Rhinopithecus bieti (black snub-nosed monkey)
Lineage: Eukaryota; Metazoa; Chordata; Mammalia; Primates; Cercopithecidae
Source: Ensembl
GCCCUUGGCCAUAUAGCAGCCUGAGGGCGCCCCACCCCAGAAACUAAGCAGUGUAGGGCCUGGCUGGUGCUUGGAUGGUGGACUGCCUGGGAUAAUCAGGGACUGGAAGCU